This 107-nucleotide small nuclear RNA is filed under the name Octodon degus (degu). The record is from RNAcentral. Lineage: Eukaryota; Metazoa; Chordata; Mammalia; Rodentia; Octodontidae.
AUGCUCGCUUCAGCAGCACAUAUACUAAAAUUGGAAUGAUGCAGAGAAGAUUGGCAUGGCCCCUGCGCAAGGAUGACACGCAAAUUCGUGAGACGUUCCAUGCUUUU